CCUACGGGAGGCAGCAGUAGGGAAUGUUCGUCAAUGGGCGCAAGCCUGAACGAGCAAUGCCGCGUGAACGAGGAAGGUCUUCGGAUCGUAAAGUUCUGUUGAAGGGGAAAAAGAGCGGAGAGAGGAAAUGGUCUCCGAUUGAUAUUACCCUUCGAGGAAGUCACGGCUAACUACGUGCCAGCAGCCGCGGUAAUACGUAGGUGGCGAGCGUUAUCCGGAAUGAUUGGGCGUAAAGGGUGCGUAGGCGGCCUGCUAAGUCUGGAGUGAAAGGUACCGGCUCAACCGGUACAGGCUCUGGAAACUGGCGGGCUAGAGAGCAGGAGAGGGCGGUGGAACUCCAUGUGUAGCGGUAAAAUGCGUAGAUGUAUGGAAGAACACCAGUGGCGAAGGCGGCCGCCUGGCCUGUUGACUGACGCUGAGGCACGAAAGCGUGGGGAGCAAAUAGGAUUAGAUACCCGAGUAGUC
Molecule: ribosomal RNA, 465 nt
Filed under: uncultured bacterium
Lineage: Bacteria
Description: partial 16S ribosomal RNA
Rfam family: Bacterial small subunit ribosomal RNA
Source: RNAcentral